Molecule: unclassified non-coding RNA, 827 nt
Filed under: Stachylidium bicolor
Lineage: Eukaryota; Fungi; Ascomycota; Sordariomycetes; Glomerellales; Plectosphaerellaceae
Description: sequence contains 28S rRNA gene
Rfam family: Eukaryotic large subunit ribosomal RNA
Source: RNAcentral
GCGGAGGAAAAGAAACCAACAGGGAUUGCCCUAGUAACGGCGAGUGAAGCGGCAACAGCUCAAAUUUGAAAUCUGGCUCCCUUGGGGGUCCGAGUUGUAAUUUGCAGAGGAUGCCUCGGGUGCGGGUUCCUUCCGAGUUCCCUGGAACGGGACGCCAUAGAGGGUGAGAGCCCCGUCUGGUCGGAAACCCAGCCCGUGUGAGGCUCCCUCGACGAGUCGAGUAGUUUGGGAAUGCUGCUCUAAGGGGAGGUAUACUCCUUCCAAGGCUAAAUACCGGCUAGAGACCGAUAGCGCACAAGUAGAGUGAUCGAAAGAUGAAAAGCACUUUGAAAAGAGAGUCAAACAGCACGUGAAAUUGUUGAAAGGGAAGCGCUUACUACCAGACUUGGGUUCGGCGGUUCAACCGGCGCCACGCGCCGGGGCACUCCGCCGGCCCAGGCCAGCAUCAGCUCUCCGUCGGGGGCAAAGGCGUCGGGAAUGUAGCUCCCCCUCGGGGGAGUGUUAUAGCCCGGCGUGUCAUACCCUUCGGGGGGCUGAGGACCGCGCUUCGCAAGGAUGCUGGCGUAAUGGUAGUCAGUGACCCGUCUUGAAACACGGACCAAGGAGUCAACCUUAUGUGCGAGUGCCCGGGCGUAAAACCCCAGCGCGUAAUGAAAGUGAACGUAGGUGAGAGCUUCGGCGCAUCACCGACCGAUCCUGAUGUCCUCGGACGGAUUUGAGUGAGAGCAUAUAGGGUUGGACCCGAAAGAAGAUGAACUAUGCGUGUGUAGGGUGAAGCCAGAGGAAACUCUGGUGGAGGCUCGCAGCGGUUCUGACGUGCAAAUCGA